RNAcentral lists this long non-coding RNA (263 nucleotides) under Struthio camelus australis. Its description in RNAcentral is "lncRNA (ENSSCUG00000009093.1)". The record is from RNAcentral. Lineage: Eukaryota; Metazoa; Chordata; Aves; Struthioniformes; Struthionidae.
UGUCUCCCCUCCAUGCUGUUAAUCAGCUGCUUUUUCUACUGCCUGUUUUGAGUUGGGAUCAUCAUCAUGCCAGCUGAAUGCAAAGCACUUAUUCAUAUAAUAUCGCAAGUGUUAUUUUCAAUUUUGUUCUUCAGAUCUCCCAGCAAUCCAUAUGCCUUUUGAAUCACCAGUGUGAAGUAAGCAGAGGUUUUUCACAGAUGGACAAGUGUGCACAAUUAAUUGAGAACCUAGCAAACGGUAACUUUACCAUUGCCUCCAGUAUU